CUUCCUUGAAAGGCCAUUGAUAUUUACAGGGUUAUUCACUAACAAGAUUUCAAAGUGAAUUUCAAAUUUAAGGCCAUAUUAGUCAAACUGGGAGUAUAGUUGACUUAGAGAAUAAUACCAUUGUGGCGAUUAUGAUCUUAACCUUUUCCAAUGCUCUGGCAUGCUUUGCCUUUCUACAAGAGGAGGGCUUUAAUGUCGUUAGGGUGGCAUAGUAUAUCCUAGUGAUUGGGCUCUUCCUGCAGGCAGUAUUCUAGCC
This is a non-coding RNA of Pelobates cultripes (western spadefoot toad), 256 nucleotides long. The record is from the annotation of a GenBank genome assembly. Lineage: Eukaryota; Metazoa; Chordata; Amphibia; Anura; Pelobatidae.